RNAcentral lists this transfer RNA (90 nucleotides) under Paramagnetospirillum magnetotacticum MS-1. RNAcentral describes it as "Magnetospirillum magnetotacticum MS-1 tRNA-Leu". It matches the Rfam family "tRNA". Rfam says of the family: Transfer RNA (tRNA) molecules are approximately 80 nucleotides in length. Their secondary structure includes four short double-helical elements and three loops (D, anti-codon, and T loops). Lineage: Bacteria; Pseudomonadati; Pseudomonadota; Alphaproteobacteria; Rhodospirillales; Magnetospirillaceae. The record is from RNAcentral.
GGCCCCUUGGCGGAACUGGUAGACGCAAGCGACUUAAAAUCGCUCGCCUUCGGGCGUGCCGGUUCGAUUCCGGCAGGGGCCACCACCACA